AGCAUAUCAAUAAGCGGAGGAAAAGAAACUAACAAGGAUUCCCCUAGUAACUGCGAGUGAAGAGGGAAAAGCUCAAAUUUAAAAUCUGGCGGUCUUUGGCCGUCCGAAUUGUAAUUUAGAGAAGCGUCACCCGCGUUGGACCGUGUACAAGUCUCCUCGAACGGAGCAUCAUAGAGGGUGAGAAUCCCGUCCAUGACACGGACUACCAGGGCUUUGUGGUGCGCUCUCGACGAGUCGAGUUGUUUGGGAAUGCAGCUCAAAAUGGGUGGUAAAUUCCAUCUAAAGCUAAAUAUAGGCGAGAGACCGAUAGCGAACAAGUACCGUGAGGGAAAGAUGAAAAGAACUUUGGAAAGAGAGUUAAACAGUACGUGAAAUUGUUGAAAGGGAAACGCUUGAAGUCAGUCGCGUCCUUCAUCGAUCAACCUGGCCUUUUCGCUUGGUGUACUCUUUGGAGGACGGGUCAGCAUCAAUUUUGACCGGGGGAAAAAGUUGGUAGGGAUGUGGCACCUUCGGGUGUGUUAUAACCUGCUUGCAUAUAUCCCGGUUGGGAUUGAGGAACUCAGCACGCCGCAAGGCCGGACUUCUGUCACGUUCGUGCUUAGGAUGCUGGCAUAAUGGCUUUAAUCGACCCGUC
Molecule: ribosomal RNA, 634 nt
Filed under: uncultured fungus
Lineage: Eukaryota; Fungi
Description: eukaryotic LSU rRNA
Rfam family: Eukaryotic large subunit ribosomal RNA
Source: RNAcentral